This 78-nucleotide small RNA is filed under the name Salmonella enterica. RNAcentral describes it as "partial RtT sRNA". It matches the Rfam family "RtT RNA", at positions 54 to 130 of the family's 130-position model. Rfam says of the family: This family represents a bacterial cis-regulatory element known as RtT RNA. The exact function of RtT is unknown although it is thought that it may be involved in changing the cellular response in relation to amino acid starvation. RNAcentral also lists the same sequence under 5 other names. Lineage: Bacteria; Pseudomonadati; Pseudomonadota; Gammaproteobacteria; Enterobacterales; Enterobacteriaceae. The record is from RNAcentral.
AAAGCGAGAAAGCGUUGCCGCAGGCAACGACCCGAAGGGCGAAGCGCGCAGCGCUGAGUAAUCCUUCCCCCACCACCA